RNA transcript from Triticum aestivum (bread wheat), 1696 nucleotides. RefSeq lists it as uncharacterized. The transcript is spliced from 4 exons. NCBI's taxonomy places the organism in Eukaryota, Viridiplantae, Streptophyta, Magnoliopsida, Poales, Poaceae. The record is from RefSeq and is a predicted model, not a curated record.
UUGGUUUCAUUGAUGAAACGCACCGACUGCCCAGCGCCACUCCUCAUCCAUAUGCGUGCCUUAUCCACACCGUCACUUCCCCUUCUCACUCACCGCUGCUCCUCCUCUUCUCCAGCCACUAUCACCCAGUGAUGCUCUUCCUCUUCUACACGCAUUGCAUGGACGAUGCACUCCACUCUCCUGGAGUGCACGCCGCCAUGGUUGCUGGCCAGAGCCAAGGCAGCACCCCUUAUCAGCGCGAGGAACCCAGAGACGCCAUGGAUGGCGCCAUGGAUGCUCCUCUGCCGUUGGUCUGAUCUGGCCGUCCCGCCCCAGUCGUCGGCCCGCUCCGGAUCCGGCCAGCAGCCUUGCCUCCGAUCCGACUCGGAUGGCCCUGCCUACAGCCUCCGCCACCUGCGGCAUGCCCCCCAGAGGUCCGACUGAUCUAGCCUGUCCACGAAGUCCAGCCGGCCCUCCUCCCGGGCGCGUUCCUCGGCCGUUGCCAUGUGCUCGGCCAACAACUUCGUUGAACUGGGCAGCAUCAACCCCCUUUUCCCUGUCGGUGAGGAACUCCAGCAGAGGAUGGACUGUGUUUUGGAGCUCCUCGAUCUGGCCUCCCCCGCUCAGUUGCCGCUCCAUGCUCCGGAUCUGGCCACAGUAGGCCUCGCCCCCGACGACCAACAGGCUCAGAUCCAUCCCUUCCCUCCUCCUGUCCUCCACAUGCGUAGGGGCUGUGGCGCCAGAUCAAGGGAGCCUGCCAAUGGAGGUCACCGCAUCUCCGUCUCGUUCCGUCCGCCGCCGGAUCCACCACGUUGUGCCAUGGAUGGGCGCCUUGCAGCUCCUCCUCCCGUCACCUAAUCUGCCUGCCCGCCCGUGCUCCAGAUCCGGCUAACAGCCUCGCCUCCGACCCGAUUCAGACAGGCGCCCACACAAUCUCACUCCGCCACCUGCGCCUCAGGUCUGACCGAUCCUGCAUCGCUCAUCCUCGCUGCUUUUCUUGUUUAAGUUAGCCCCGCUGUUUCUUUUGCUCGCAGCUUGCGAGGAGGCUAGGGCGCGCCUUGUCCAGCCGCGGGCUACCUGCUGUGUCAGUCAGCCCAGCCGCCUCGACCCGGCCUUCUCCUUCUCCGCCCCCAGCUCUAGGCCUCAAACAACUCCCACUUUUUGUAAAUCCUCCGUAGAGCAAGGGGCACCGGUGGUGGUGGUGUUCGCUCGGUGGACUCUGUUCCAUUUUCUUUGCUCCUUCACGCUUUGGCGAUUCCUUCUGUUCCCUUUCUCUGCUUGUUUUGAUUUCUAAUGUGGCUUGUUGAUUCUCAUGGCAACUCCGAGGGACUGUUAUGCAAAAUCGCGCACGACGACAUAUCGACGAAGGCGAUCUUAUGGAUGAAGAGUACGAUAGCGAGUCUGACGCCUAGAGGAGUCCCAGUCAGUCCCGUGCGAUUCCUGGAAUUGGUCACUUGUAUCAUAUACGCUUCCGCUACCCGAAUAAAAUCAUCGAGCCACACUCCAGCGCUCAAUGAGCUGUAAGAUUUAGGAGUCAUGUCACCCAUGUCACUGUGACAUAUCCACCACCACUUUUAUUACGAGUCAGUAGUUAUACCACCAUACUCCUCGUGUCAUAUCUGCCUUUAUGUAUAAUAGCAGUGAGCUUGUAAUAAAUUGUUGAGCAGCCUCAGCUCAACCUUGUAUAAUGUUUAGUGCUACUGGAUUUCUGUAUCAA